Long non-coding RNA from Mirounga angustirostris (Northern elephant seal), 2563 nucleotides. RefSeq lists it as uncharacterized. The transcript has 3 exons. The record is from RefSeq and is a predicted model, not a curated record. Lineage: Eukaryota; Metazoa; Chordata; Mammalia; Carnivora; Phocidae.
AAAUACAUUCAGCUCUUUCCAUUUGUUGUCUCCUUGGCAGGAAUUAGCUAGUCACACUGCUGUCUCUCCUGAUUCCUUGCUGAUGAGGUUGGGCACGGGGCAGGUCCAGAGGUUUCUCUGACUGGGCUGAAGGAUUCUUGCUGACCAGUGCGAAUGGGCCCUUUACAGUAGGAAAUACCAGCGCUGUGAGGAACAACCCAAAGAAGCUCCUCUCUCAUCUGACCCCUGGCAGCUAGCCCCUGGCCUUCUCAGCAUCCCCACCUCUUGGUAGGAUGGGAAUUCCUUACUUCAUCCCCUGGGUUUCUGCAAGGUGGGCAGGGCACGCCAAGUGAGGAAAGAAAUGAGAGAGGAGGAAGAGCGAAAGCAAGAAAGGAAGCAUAAGAAGAAAGGAAACACGGGACAGUAAAGAGAGGAGAGGGGAGAAUGGGCAGGGGCAGGAGAGAGCAGAAUGGUCUUUGCAGCACAGUGCCUCCGGUGAUACCAUCAUCAUUGUCUUGCCUGAGCAGAUGUGCAAGGAUUCCAUCUACUCAUUAUACAGCAUGGAAAUGGAACACGUUUGUUUCUAUCAGCCUCAUCGGAAAUCUUGGCAGAUGCUGUCCGAAAGUGCGUACUGCUUCGGAGAUGUGAUCUUUCAACAGCGCAUACUGUACUUUUUUGAUUGGGGUUGGAAAAGACAGGAAGAGGGAGCUGAUUGUGUUUUUGUUUUGUUGUUUAAUUUUGAAAUUACUCUCUCCAAGGAGGCUUUUCCUUAGACCACACGGAGCUCCUCUGACUAGCCAGGAUGGCACAACCAGGGGUCUGGGGCUGGCCAGCAGGCUUAGGGCCACCCUAAAGCCCUGUGCCAAGGGCCCAUUCCUUUGAAAUAGCCCCCUCUGUACAGGGUUCAGAGCUCCCCCUUCAUGGCUCUCACCUCCCCUUAGUCCAGCAUUAUUCUGAGCUUCCACUCUCCUCCACUGCACUUCAGCCUCGACCUCCGUGUCCCUGUCUCGCCUGAAGACAUCUGAAGUGGGUGGUUCAAGCAAAGAGCAUUUUGUUCCACGCUGAACGAGGCUCAGGGAGACCGGUAGUGCCAGAGACAGGAGUGGGCACCAUUCGUCACUAAACUAAAGCCUCGCAGUGUGCAAGUUCCCCACGACAAACACCACCUUUCCCUGGGAAGACAGCCAAGACCUGGAGCCCUGCGUAGGAAAUCCCCAGUGAGAGGCCCUUCCUGAGCGCCACAGAAAAUGGUUCUUUUCAUCGACUGAGUCCCCUUCCUUUCUAGCGUACAGGCCCACAUCACAUCCCCCUUCCUGGCCUUCUACACUCCGCUCACAUGCCAAGUGCCCCGCCCUGGCGCCUCAUGGCUCCUGUGUCCCUUCCCUUUCCCCUCCACGCUCACUGGGCUCCCCCAGCCCUCACAAAGCCUCCUCCUUCCCCCAGUAGGGCUGCCGACUCUCCCUCCAUCCAGCAAGCACCCUGUGCCCCCACGUGAAACUGUUCCGUGCCAUGUCCUCACAUCUCCAGAGGCUCCUCUCGGGUUGAACAGAAAUGGUUUGUUGACUUUACCAGAUUAGCAAGGGGAGCAAAUUCCACAGAUGCCUCUGUCCCUCAGUCUCAAAGUUCAGACCUCCAGCUUGAUAGCAGGAGGAGGUGAUGCGGGCAGCCUGAGAGUGCAUGAAAGAAUGACAGCUAACAGUCCCUCUUCAUGGGGUAGUUGCUAGCCGGCAGGCAAAGGUCGACACCUCUCACGGCUUCUUAAUGUAAUCCUCACGACAAUCCUCUCUCUAUUCCUAGCCCUGCUUUACAGAGGAGGAACGAGAUGGCACGUGAGGCUAGGGAGAGGCAGACCCGGAGUGUGCCUGGAGGAUGGCACUCCUGCGCCCCUGGGAUUACCUCUCCCAACAUGCACUGCCAGGAGCAGGAGACUUGGAUUCCAGCCUCCUCCUGCCACUGCUCAGGCACUCAGAGAGAUCCCCAAGCUUCCAGGACUCAAGACCAGCCCCAGAGAUAGAGCAACAGAGAUAUCAAGAGAGAGAGUGAGAAGCAGGCUCCCAGCCAAGCAGCCGCAGGGAGCCUGACAACGGGGCUGACCCCAGGACUCUGAGAUCACGACCUGAGCCGAAGGCAGACGCUCAACCGACUGAGCCACCCAGGCGCCCCUCCCAUGGGAUAAAUUCUCCCAUCACCUGAUUUCAAGCUCCCAAUGUGACAUUACUGAACAAGGAGUUAGGAGAGAUGUGUAGAAACACACCAUCAUAUGAUAUUUCCACCAUACAGAUACAGUAGAUGUGAAUAACCUCAAAAGGACAAAAAAUAGUAAAAAGUAGUAAAAUAAGUAGGGACUUUUGAUUAGUUAUUACCUUUGUUUUAAAUCUAAUUUAUUCUAUUUUAAUUUUAUGUAACUUAACCUUUAAUAAUUAUUGUGUUUCAUGAUCAGCUUGCAAAUUUCCUGAAAGCUUAAUAAAUCGGUUUGCAACUGGUUUGAGCUGGUUCUGGCACACCACUGCUAGGGUCAAGUACAAGGAUUUGCUUUUUUUUUUUUUUUUUAAGAUUCAUUUAUUCAUUUAAGAGAGAGAGAAUG